RNAcentral lists this unclassified non-coding RNA (299 nucleotides) under uncultured Pleosporales. RNAcentral's name for it is "sequence contains ITS1". The stretch from base 1 to 105 matches the Rfam family "5.8S ribosomal RNA", at positions 50 to 154 of the family's 154-position model. The record is from RNAcentral. Lineage: Eukaryota; Fungi; Ascomycota; Dothideomycetes; Pleosporales.
GAAAUGCGAUAAGUAGUGUGAAUUGCAGAAUUCAGUGAAUCAUCGAAUCUUUGAACGCACAUUGCGCCCCUUGGUAUUCCAUGGGGCAUGCUUGUUCGAGCGUCAUUUGUACCUCAAGCUUUGCUUGGUGUUGGGUGUUUGUCCUUUCUUUGCGAAUGGACUCGCCUUAAAUUUAUUGGCAGCCAAUAUACUGGUUUGAAGCGCAGCACAAUUUGCGAUUCUUUCUAGCAUUAUUGCAUCCAUUAAGCAUCUUUAACACUUUUGACCUCGGAUCAAGUAGGGAUACCCGCUGAACUUAA